This 253-nucleotide ribosomal RNA is filed under the name uncultured bacterium. RNAcentral describes it as "partial 16S ribosomal RNA". It matches the Rfam family "Bacterial small subunit ribosomal RNA", at positions 524 to 776 of the family's 1533-position model. The record is from RNAcentral.
UACGUAGGGUGCGAGCGUUGUCCGGAAUCAUUGGGCGUAAAGCGCGUGUAGGCGGCCCGGUAAGUCCGCUGUGAAAGUCCAGGGCUCAACCCUGGGAUGCCGGUGGAUACUGUCGGGCUCGAGUCCGGAAGAGGCGAGUGGAAUUCCUGGUGUAGCGGUGAAAUGCGCAGAUAUCAGGAGGAACACCAAUGGCGAAGGCAGCUCGCUGGGACGUGACUGACGCUGAGACGCGAAAGCGUGGGGAGCAAACAGG